RNAcentral lists this ribosomal RNA (374 nucleotides) under uncultured bacterium. Its description in RNAcentral is "bacterial SSU rRNA". It matches the Rfam family "Bacterial small subunit ribosomal RNA", at positions 30 to 406 of the family's 1533-position model. The record is from RNAcentral.
AUUGAACGCUGGCGGCAUGCCUUACACAUGCAAGUCGAACGGCAGCGGACCUUCGGGUGCCGGCGAGUGGCGAACGGGUGAGUAAUAUAUCGGAACGUACCUUUCAGUGGGGGAUAACGUAGCGAAAGUUACGCUAAUACCGCAUAUUCUGUGAGCAGGAAAGCAGGGGAUCGCAAGACCUUGCGCUGAUUGAGCGGCCGAUAUCAGAUUAGCUAGUUGGUGAGGUAAAGGCUCACCAAGGCGACGAUCUGUAGCGGGUCUGAGAGGAUGAUCCGCCACACUGGAACUGAGACACGGUCCAGACUCCUACGGGAGGCAGCAGUGGGGAAUUUUGGACAAUGGGCGCAAGCCUGAUCCAGCCAUGCCGCGUGAGU